This 263-nucleotide ribosomal RNA is filed under the name uncultured bacterium. RNAcentral describes it as "partial 16S ribosomal RNA". It matches the Rfam family "Bacterial small subunit ribosomal RNA", at positions 524 to 786 of the family's 1533-position model. The record is from RNAcentral.
UACGGAGGGAGCAAGCGUUGUCCGGAUUUACUGGGCGUAAAGAGCGCGCAGGCGGUCGUUCAAGUCGAGUGUGAAAGCCCCCGGCUCAACUGGGGAGGGUCACUCGAUACUGAUCGACUCGAAGGCAGGAGAGGGAAGUGGAAUUCCCGGUGUAGUGGUGAAAUGCGUAGAUAUCGGGAGGAACACCAGUGGCGAAGGCGACUUCCUGGCCUGUUCUUGACGCUGAGGCGCGAAAGCUAGGGGAGCAAACGGGAUUAGAAACC